UCGAGAAUAAUCGUCAAUGGGCGAAAGCCUGAACGUGCGACGCCGCGUGGAGGAUGAAGGUCUUCGGAUUGUAAACUCCUUUUGCAAGGGACGAAUGUAAUGACGGUACCUUGCGAAUAAGAGGUUGCUAACUCUGUGCCAGCAGCAGCGGUAAUACAGAGACCUCAAGCGUUAUCCGGAUUUAUUGGGCGUAAAGGGUGCGUAGGCGGAUAUGAUAGUCAGAUGUCAAAUCACGAAGCUCAACUUCGUGGCUGCAUUUGAAACGUCAUAUCUGGAGACAAGCAGAGGUCAGUGGAACUCAUGGUGUAGCAGUGAAAUGCGUUGAUAUCAUGGGGAACACCAAAGGCGAAGGCAUCUGGCUGGGCUUGUCUGACGCUGAGGCACGAAAGCGUGGGUAGCGAAUGGGAUUAGAUACCCCAGUAGUCCACGCCCUAAACGAUGCGCACUAGACAUUGGUAACG
RNAcentral lists this ribosomal RNA (461 nucleotides) under uncultured bacterium. RNAcentral's name for it is "bacterial SSU rRNA". It matches the Rfam family "Bacterial small subunit ribosomal RNA", at positions 355 to 831 of the family's 1533-position model. The record is from RNAcentral.